UACGGAGGGUGCAAGCGUUAUCCGGAUUCACUGGGUUUAAAGGGUGCGUAGGUGGGCUGUUAAGUCAGUGGUGAAAUCUCCGGGCUCAACCCGGAAACUGCCAUUGAUACUAUCAGUCUUGAAUAUCGUUGAGGUAAGCGGAAUAUGUCAUGUAGCGGUGAAAUGCUUAGAUAUGACAUAGAACACCGAUUGCGAAGGCAGCUAACUACGGGAUUAUUGACACUGAGGCACGAAAGCGUGGGGAUCAAACAGG
RNAcentral lists this ribosomal RNA (253 nucleotides) under uncultured bacterium. RNAcentral describes it as "partial 16S ribosomal RNA". It matches the Rfam family "Bacterial small subunit ribosomal RNA", at positions 524 to 776 of the family's 1533-position model. The record is from RNAcentral.